This 253-nucleotide ribosomal RNA is filed under the name uncultured bacterium. Its description in RNAcentral is "partial 16S ribosomal RNA". It matches the Rfam family "Bacterial small subunit ribosomal RNA", at positions 524 to 776 of the family's 1533-position model. The record is from RNAcentral.
GACAGAGGGUGCAAACGUUGUUCGGAAUUACUGGGCGUAAAGCGCGUGUAGGCGGCCCUGUAAGUCGGGUGUGAAAUCCCACGGCUCAACCGUGGAAGUGCACUCGAAACUACAGGGCUAGAGUCCUGGAGAGGAAGGUGGAAUGCUUGGUGUAGAGGUGAAAUUCGUAGAUAUCAAGCGGAACACCGGUGGCGAAGGCGGCCUUCUGGACAGCGACUGACGCUGAGACGCGAAAGCGUGGGGAGCAAACAGG